Molecule: long non-coding RNA, 2749 nt
Organism: Gasterosteus aculeatus aculeatus (three-spined stickleback)
Lineage: Eukaryota; Metazoa; Chordata; Actinopteri; Perciformes; Gasterosteidae
Source: Ensembl
GAAAUGAAUAUUGAAAAAUUGCUGUUGAUAGAGGCAUAAGAAUAGCUGAAAUUAUUUUAAAGAACUGCUGAAAAUACAGGAAGUGGGGAAGCUGAAUUUCAAUAGAUUUUCUAAAAACAGAAGUUGCAGGAGCUUAAAUUUGUUUAAAAUUGUUUGUAGUAAUAUUAGUAGUAGUAUUAGUUAUAAUUGUGGUAUUAGAAGUACUAGCAGUAAUAGUAGGUUUAGUAUCAAUAGCAGUAGAAACAGCUGUAAUACUAUUAGCCAUAGUCGUAUUUGUAAUAACAUUAGUAGUAGUUGUAGUAUUAAUAGCAGUAGAAAUACUAGUAGUAUGGUAGUAGAAGUAUCAGUUGUAGUACUAGAAGUACGAGUAAUAUUCGUAGUGGGAGACAGAAUGUUUGUUAUUCAAACUAAGAAGUUUUUAAUUAAUAGGCCUCAUCACAAACAUUACAGUAAAAAUUCCCUCCAUGUGGCUUUUAUUUUGAAAUUAUUGGAUUGGGUGGGUUGGGGGGGAGUAGAUAGAGGGAGGGAGGGUGAGAGGGUGAGGAAGGGAGGGGUGGUGAGGAAGAGAUAGAGGGAGAGAGAGAGAGGAGGAGAAUUAGACUGACUGACUGACUGAGAGUGAUUAACAGUAAGUAGAGGUCAGGGUGGGGGGGGGGGGGGGGGUGAUGUACGACGGACGAAAGAAAAGAUCUCUCCUUUUCUUUCAUAAUAGGCAGAACUACACCCGGGUGAAAAAAUGUCAUUGCAUGUGACAUAACCGACUUUAAAAAAGUCAAACUAAUUAACAUCCUAUCUUAUCAGAGUAGGUGCUUUAUUUUGUAUUUUUUUUUGCUUAAUCCAUUUCACACAAUUCCAAGCCAUUGAUGAUGUGGGAUUAAACAAAGUCCUGGGGUAAAUCAGCUGAUAUAGUUACAUGGUUCCACUUGUCUACUGUCUGUCGUGAGCGGAGGCGUAAAGCAGCAGAAGUGGCAUGUGUUAUUAUGUGAUGCAAUUUAAUGCCAGGUCGAGACCCUGCACUUGGAUUAGCGUCCUCUCAAAUAUAUUUAAUGAGUAAAUGUAAUCAGCCACAUCUGCUGGAUCAUUUAUGCACUUGUGACACAGUGGUAAACAAGGUGCCGAGCGGAUAAAAACAAAAGACCUUUUUUUUCCUUUACACAGAAUAGCGGCGUAAACAGAGCAGUUGGAGGACAUGUGGUUGAAUGUUUGAGCCUGGGAUUUAAUUGGGCUUUUUAACCACAAAUGAACGGAGUUAGUUGGUAACAUUUACAGACCCCCCAAAACAUUUAAGUGCUCCGGUAGAGAAGAGGUGCCUGCUCCCUGUUAAUUCUCCCCGCGGUAGUGUACAUUUUCCAGAUGCAAACAACAACAACAUUCUCUCAGUUUUGACCAAACUUGGCUGCAUAUUCCUUCAUAUAAUGAAUAUCUCUCCGGGCAUUUACCACACAUGUCUGCCACAGCGGGCUUUUAUUUCCCCUGUCUUAUCGCCUCUGACAAAUCCACAGAGGAAUGGCAGCAUUGUGGGCCCCGACCGACCCAAAAGUCACAUGAAAAGGAAGCAAAUUGAGCAGAGGCACGUGGAAAUCUCCAAGGGGACCCCAUUUGCAAUUCAAAGGCAAAUUAGCAAAUCAAACACUUUGUCAUUGCCAACGGAAAUUGAUGUGAGGAAACUUGAGUGACAAGUGUUUAAUAUUGAAAACUUGCCUUAAUCAACACAUCAUGAGCUAAAAAGGUAAUAGCCCUUGAGUGGAGGUAACGGUAAGACCUUGGAGGCUCUUUGAAUGCAACGUCAUCUGCAUAAAGACAUGUUUUAAGGUCACCACUGUCGUAUCCAGUCUGUGGCGUGACUAGUCAGGAUAAAUCAAUUACAAAGACAUCAUUGACACCUGCCCUUGUGCCAAGUCAACGCUUUCAUCCAUAUGUACUUGAGAUUUGCACAGUAAUCAAGCUACAGAGUCUCACAAAGUUGAAAGUAAUGUGAGUAAUUAGAUAAACCCGAGAGAAUCCCGGACAUGAGUAGAUGCUGCUCAGUGUCACGUGCAUCAGAGAGUUUGUUAUAAUCAUACAAAUACAAUAUCCAUCCAAAAAUGGAGGACAUCAUACAAAAAGGAGCCUAGUUUUAUUGGCUAGAGAUUAGUGGGAUCUUUCCCAUGGGAGCAUUUAGUUAAAGCUGUUUGUACCACAAAGGUCCAUCCAACUUUACUGGUUGAAAUACAUCAUAGUGUAGCAGCUAACAUUACCAUCUCUUGAACAUUGGCUAAAAAUCUGAAUGGUCUACUUGGAUGGGAUGGAUUACAUCCAUCCAUUUUGAUGUAUGUGAUAGGCAUGUCAUCAUACCUUCCAUGAACUAUCUGCCAUCAUUUCUGUGGGUCUCUGAUUGAUGAUUGCAGACACCCCCGAGCGUCACUCAAGUUCACCCUUGGAUUCCAAUCAGAAAAGACACAUGAAUGGGCUGUUGGGGAAAGGUAACAUUGAAAGAGACACAGGCAGUAGCUCCUCUGGGUAAAUGAGCUCGUGUCGAUGCAAGUGACCUGUAAUUAUAGAUAAAAGCCCUUUUGCAGCAGACCAUCAUCUGCAUCAUUGACUCUUCUGCCUCCCGCUUAGACUCCUAAAUCACUUAUCAAACGGAGGUGGUGAAAUCCCCAGGUCCUUCUCGUCAGGUUUGCAGAUUUUUCACACGCCUAUUUUGCAUCCGCUUAAAAUACUCUGCAUCUACAUGCAAUGAAUGCUCCUGCACCUUGAUUCUCUUUGG